RNAcentral lists this ribosomal RNA (162 nucleotides) under uncultured bacterium. RNAcentral describes it as "partial 16S ribosomal RNA". It matches the Rfam family "Bacterial small subunit ribosomal RNA", at positions 355 to 509 of the family's 1533-position model. The record is from RNAcentral.
UGGGGAAUUUUGGACAAUGGGCGAAAGCCUGAUCCAGCCAUGCCGCGUGCAGGAUGAAGGCCUUCGGGUUGUAAACUGCUUUUGUACGGAACGAAAAGACUCCUUCUAAUAAAGGGGGUCCAUGACGGUACCGUAAGAAUAAGCACCGGCUAACUACGUGCC